AUAAUGGAGAGUUUGAUCCUGGCUCAGGACGAACGCUGACGGCGUGGAUUAGGCAUGCAAGUCGAACGAGAAAUUCCCCGCUUGCGGGGAAGAGUACAGUGGCGAACGGGUGAGUAACGCGUAGGUAUCUACCUCAAAGACUGGGAUAGCCCCGGGAAACCGGGGGUAAUACCGGAUGUGUUUUCCGAAACAAAGGUGGCCUCUGUUUACAAGCUACCGCUUUGAGAUGAGCCUGCGUCAUAUUAGCUUGUUGGUGGGGUAAUGGCCUACCAAGGCGAUGAUGUGUAGCCGACCUUAACGGGUGACCGGCCACACUGGGAUUGAGAUACGGCCCAGACUCCUACGGGAGGCAGCAGUCGAGAAUAGUCUACAAUGGGGGAAACCCUGAUAGUGCGA
RNAcentral lists this ribosomal RNA (396 nucleotides) under Candidatus Cloacimonadota bacterium. RNAcentral's name for it is "bacterial SSU rRNA". It matches the Rfam family "Bacterial small subunit ribosomal RNA", at positions 1 to 394 of the family's 1533-position model. Lineage: Bacteria; Pseudomonadati; Candidatus Cloacimonadota. The record is from RNAcentral.